GAUCAUGGCUCAGAACGAACGCUGGCGGCAGGCCUAACACAUGCAAGUCGAGCGCGCCCUUCGGGGUGAGCGGCGGACGGGUUAGUAACGCGUGGGAACGUACCCUUUGGUAGGGAAUAGCCACUGGAAACGGUGAGUAAUACCCUAUGAGCCCUUCGGGGGAAAGAUUUAUCGCCGAAGGAUCGGCCCGCGUUAGAUUAGGUAGUUGGUGGGGUAAUGGCCUACCAAGCCUACGAUCUAUAGCUGGUUUUAGAGGAUGAUCAGCAACACUGGGACUGAGACACGGCCCAGACUCCUACGGGAGGCAGCAGUGGGGAAUCUUGGACAAUGGGGGCAACCCUGAAUCCAGCCAUGCCGCGUGAGUGAAGAAGGCCUUAGGGUCGUAAAGCUCUUUCGCCUGUGAAGAUAAUGACGGUAGCAGGUAAAGAAACCCCGGCUAACUCCGUGCCAGCCGCAGC
Molecule: ribosomal RNA, 458 nt
Filed under: uncultured bacterium
Lineage: Bacteria
Description: bacterial SSU rRNA
Rfam family: Bacterial small subunit ribosomal RNA
Source: RNAcentral